RNAcentral lists this ribosomal RNA (252 nucleotides) under uncultured prokaryote. RNAcentral describes it as "partial 16S rRNA". It matches the Rfam family "Archaeal small subunit ribosomal RNA", at positions 475 to 726 of the family's 1478-position model. The record is from RNAcentral.
ACCUACAGCUCAAGUGGUUGUCAUUAUUAUUGGGCCUAAAGCGUUCGUAGCCGGUUUGAUAAGUCUCUGGUGAAAUCCCGCAGCUUAACUGUGGGACUUGCUGGAGAUACUAUCAGACUUGAGGUCGGGAGAGGUUAGGGGUACUCCCAGGGUAGAGGUGAAAUGCUAUAAUCCUGGGAGGACCUCCUGUGGCGAAGGCGGCUAACUGGAACGAACCUGACGGUGAGUAACGAAAGCGAGGGGCGCGAACCG